CAUGCAAGUCGUGCGAGAAAGUAUCUUCGGAUAUGAGUAGAGCGGCGGACGGGUGAGUAACGCGUAGGAAUCUACCUAGUAGAAGGGGAUAGCCCGAGGAAACUCGGAUUAAUACCGUAUACCUCCUUCGGGAGAAAGAAGGCCUCUCUUUGAAGCUUUCGCUACUAGAUGAGCCUGCGUAAGAUUAGCUUGUUGGUGAGGUAAAGGCUCACCAAGGCUACGAUCUUUAGCGGGUCUGAGAGGACGAUCCGCCACAUUGGGACUGAGACACGGCCCAGACUCCUACGGGAGGCAGCAGUGGGGAAUAUUGGACAAUGGGCGCAAGCCUGAUCCAGCCAUACCGCGUGUGUGAAGAAGGCCCUAGGGUUGUAAAGCACUUUAAGUUGGGAAGAAAAGUUAUUGGCUAAUACCCAAUGACCGUGACAUUACCAUCAGAAUAAGGACCGGCUAAUUCCGUGCCAGCAGCCGCGGUAAUACGGAAGGUCCAAGCGUUAAUCGGAAUUACUGGGCGUAAAGCGCGCGUAGGUGGUUUAUUAAGUUGGGUGUGAAAUCCCCGGGCUCAACCUGGGAACUGCAUCCAAAACUGAUUCACUAGAGUACGAUAGAGGGAGGUAGAAUUCACAGUGUAGCGGUGGAAUGCGUAGAUAUUGUGAAGAAUACCAAUGGCGAAGGCAGCCUCCUGGAUCUGUACUGACACUGAGGUGCGAAAGCGUGGGUAGCGAACAGGAUUAGAUACCCUGGUAGUCCACGCCGUAAACGAUGUCAACUAUCUGUUGGAAAGCAUUGCUUUUCAGUGGAGCAGCUAACGUAAUAAGU
This 816-nucleotide ribosomal RNA is filed under the name uncultured Gammaproteobacteria bacterium. Its description in RNAcentral is "bacterial SSU rRNA". It matches the Rfam family "Bacterial small subunit ribosomal RNA", at positions 54 to 865 of the family's 1533-position model. Lineage: Bacteria; Pseudomonadati; Pseudomonadota; Gammaproteobacteria. The record is from RNAcentral.